GACGAACGCUGGCGGCGUGCCUAAUACAUGCAAGUAGAACGCUGAAGGAGGAGCUUGCUUCUCUGGAUGAGUUGCGGACGGGUGAGUAACGCGUAGGUAACCUGCCUGGUAGCGGGGGAUAACUAUUGGAAACGAUAGCUAAUACCGCAUAAGAUUAGAUGUUGCAUGACAUUUACUUAAAAGAUGCAAUUGUUUCACUACUAGAUGGACCUGCGUUGUAUUAGCUAGUUGGUGAGGUAACGGCUCACCAAGGCAACGAUACAUCGCCGACCAGGGCGGGGGAACGGGCAAACUGGGACGGGGGCACGGCCCAGACGCCUGCGGGAGGCAGCAGUAGGGAAUCAUUGGGAAAGGACGGAAGUCUGAACGAACAACGACGCGUGAGUGAAGGAGGUUUUCGGGUCGUAAAGCUCAGUUGUGUGAGAAGAACGAGUGGGAGAUUGGAAAGUGCACACUGUGACGGUAUCUAAACAGAAAGCGACGGCUAACUACGUG
Molecule: ribosomal RNA, 495 nt
Filed under: uncultured bacterium
Lineage: Bacteria
Description: partial 16S ribosomal RNA
Rfam family: Bacterial small subunit ribosomal RNA
Source: RNAcentral